UCCACUCUCCUGGCCCCCAG
RNAcentral lists this microRNA (20 nucleotides) under Homo sapiens (human). RNAcentral's name for it is "hsa-miR-6777-3p". The record is from miRBase by way of RNAcentral. Lineage: Eukaryota; Metazoa; Chordata; Mammalia; Primates; Hominidae.